Molecule: small nuclear RNA, 307 nt
Filed under: Chinchilla lanigera (long-tailed chinchilla)
Lineage: Eukaryota; Metazoa; Chordata; Mammalia; Rodentia; Chinchillidae
Description: 7SK RNA (ENSCLAG00000021558.1)
Rfam family: 7SK RNA
About the family: 7SK was discovered as an abundant small nuclear RNA in the mid-70s but a possible function has only recently been suggested. Two independent studies have found that 7SK RNA binds the CDK9/cyclin T complex (known as elongation factor P-TEFb).
Source: Rfam by way of RNAcentral
GGAUGUGAGGGCGAUCUGGCUGUGGCAUCUGUCACCCCAUUGAUCGCCAGGGUUGAUUUCGCUGAUCCGGCUGGCUAGGCAGGUGUCCCCUUCCUUCCUCAAAGCUCCAUGUGCAUCUCUCCUGAAGCUUCAUGCUCGGUCGAAAGGACGACGACCACCACCACCACCCCCCAUAGAGGAGGACCGUUCCUCGGUCAGCGGUAUACAAGCAGCUGCGCUCCCCUGCUAGAACCUCCAAACAAGCUCUCAAGAAGUAAAAUGAAGGAGAGAUGGUAGAAAAGAGAGAGGCAGACAUUUUGGAGAGAAU